GCGGAAGUGGCGAAAUGGCAGACGCGCAUGCCUCAGGAGCAUGUGGGGGCAACCCCUUGGAGGUUCAAGUCCUCUCUUCCGCA
This 83-nucleotide transfer RNA is filed under the name bacterium. RNAcentral's name for it is "tRNA-Leu". It matches the Rfam family "tRNA". Rfam says of the family: Transfer RNA (tRNA) molecules are approximately 80 nucleotides in length. Their secondary structure includes four short double-helical elements and three loops (D, anti-codon, and T loops). The record is from RNAcentral. RNAcentral also lists the same sequence under 2 other names.